GGAAGGCCAGAAGCACCCAUCCUUUAUUUAGAGAAAACCCCAAAGUGGAUUAUAUGCAUCAGUUAGGAGCUCAGGCUAAGGCAAUCCCAGUUCACCAUUCAAGACAUUUUCUACUCUUGAAAACUUCAAAGGACAUUAUGAAAAGCAAAACCUUGAGAUCCAUCUCUGCCUCAAAUCAAGCCAGGAAAAAAGGCUACGGUGGUGGGAACAAGGAAGCAAAACUGACUAUGUUUGAAAGAGUUCAGGAAGCAGAGGGAAAAUGCAGAGGGGCACAGGCCCUCGGGCAGCGGAUUACAGUCACAUUCUCAGAAAAAGAGCGAGAGCUUUGGAAGAUAAGAUGGAGGAACUACAGAGACAGCAGGAGGAGGAACUAUUCCAACUGAGUCAAGACAACUAUAUUCUUCGAGCCAAGUGAAGUAGCAUUGAAGAAUCAAACAAGAAACAAAGGUGGUUGCCUUUUGAGGAAACAUCAGCUCCUGCCACAGAGAAAAAAUAAAAUCAAAAAAAGAAAUAGGAACAAGAGACACUUGUUCAGGGACGUCAACAGAGAGUUCCAGAAACAAGCCUGUCUACCCACUGUGGCUCCAUCCAGUUUCCUCACCACAGAAAGAUGGGCUAAAAACAGAAAAAAAGAA
This is a long non-coding RNA of Camelus dromedarius (Arabian camel), 635 nucleotides long. RefSeq lists it as uncharacterized. The record is from RefSeq and is a predicted model, not a curated record. Lineage: Eukaryota; Metazoa; Chordata; Mammalia; Artiodactyla; Camelidae. The transcript is spliced from 4 exons.